This 725-nucleotide small RNA is filed under the name Pongo abelii (Sumatran orangutan). RNAcentral's name for it is "retained intron". The record is from RNAcentral. Lineage: Eukaryota; Metazoa; Chordata; Mammalia; Primates; Hominidae.
GAUGAUGUCUCACUCUGUUGCCAAGGCUGGAGUGCAGUGGCUUGAUCUUGGCUCACUGCAACCUCCGCCUCCCGGGUUCAAGUGAUUCUCCUGCCUCAGCCUCCCAAAUAGCUGGGAUUACAGGUGCCCACCACCACGCCCAGCUAAUAUUUGUAUUAUUAGUAGAGAUGGGGUUUCACCAUCUUGGCCAGGGUGGUCUUGAACUCCUGACCUUGUGAUCCACCCGCCUCGGCCUCCCAAAGCGCUGGGAUUACAGACGUGAGCCACUGUGCCCGGCCAAUAUCCUGAACUUUCUCACCUGCCUUCUCCUCCUAGCUAACGGGCCUCACCUCUUCCAUUCCGGAGAUGAUCCUUGGACAUCUUUUCAGCCAGGAAGAGCUCUCUGGAAAUUCUGAGUUGAUACAAAAGUACAGAAAUAUCAUUACACAUGCACCCAACCUGGAUAACAUUGAAUUGUACUGGAACAGCUACAACAACCGCCGAGACCUGAACUUUGAGCGUGGAGGUGAUAUCACCCUCAAGUGUCCUGUGAUGCUGGUGGUAGGAGACCAAGCACCUCAUGAAGAUGCAGUGGUGGAAUGUAACUCAAAACUGGACCCCACCCAGACCUCGUUCCUCAAGAUGGCUGACUCCGGAGGUCAGCCCCAGCUGACUCAGCCAGGCAAACUGACCGAGGCCUUCAAGUACUUCCUGCAAGGCAUGGGCUACAUGGCCUCAUCCUGCAU